GACGAACGCUGGCGGCGUGCUUAACACAUGCAAGUCGAACGGAAAGGCCAUGAUUUUGCGGGGUGCUCGAGUGGCGAACGGGUGAGUAACACGCGAGUAACACGCCCCUGUCUUUGGGAUAACAUCAGGAGACUGGGGCUAAUACCGGAUAGGAGCUCCUGCUGCACGGUGGGGGUUGGAAAGUUUCGGCGGUUGGGGAUGGACUCGCGGCUUAUGAGCUAGUUGGUGGGGUAGUGGCGUACAAGGGCUUUGACGGGUAGCCGGCCUGAGAGGGUGACCAGCCACAUUGGGACUGAGGUACGGACCAGACUCCUACGUGAGGCAGCAGUGGGGAGUAUGGCGCAAUGGGCGGGAGCGUGAUACAGCAACGUCGCGUGCGGGAUGACGGCCUACGGGUUGUAAACCGCUUUCGCCUGUGACGAAGAGUGAGUGACGGUAAUGGGUAAAGAAGCACCGGCUAACUACGUG
Molecule: ribosomal RNA, 468 nt
Filed under: uncultured bacterium
Lineage: Bacteria
Description: partial 16S ribosomal RNA
Rfam family: Bacterial small subunit ribosomal RNA
Source: RNAcentral